RNAcentral lists this ribosomal RNA (717 nucleotides) under uncultured bacterium. Its description in RNAcentral is "bacterial SSU rRNA". It matches the Rfam family "Bacterial small subunit ribosomal RNA", at positions 525 to 1230 of the family's 1533-position model. The record is from RNAcentral.
AUGANGGACUCACUCAGUUAUCCNGGAAUUACUGGGCGUAAANGGUGUCUAGGCGGUUGAGUAAGUCAUCUGUGAAAGCCCUCAGCUUAACUGAGGAACGUCAGGUGAAACUGCUUGGCUUGGGUGUAGGAGAGGAGAGUGGAACUCACAGAGUAGCGGUGGAAUGCGUAGAUACUGUGAGGUACCCCGAUGGCGAAGGCAACUCUCUGGCCUACUACCGACGCUGAAGCACGAAAGCGUGGGGAGCAAAGGGGAUUAGAUACCCCCGUAGUCCACGCCCUAAACGAUGUUCACUUGGUGUCGGUCGCACAUACAGAUCGGUGCCGGAGCUAACGUGUUAAGUGAACCGCCUGGGGAGUACGGUCGCAAGGCUAAAACUCAAGAGAAUUGACGGGUCCCCGCACAAGCGGUGGAGCACGUGGUUUAAUUCGAUGAUAAGCGAAGAACCUCACCUGGGCUUGACAUACUAGUAGUAGGAACCAGAAACGGUGACGACCCUGCCUUCGGGUAGGGAGCUAGUACAGGUGAUGCAUGGCUGUCGUCAGCUCGUGUCGUGGGACGUAGGGUUAAGUCCCGAAACGAGCGCAACCCCUGUUGUCAGUUACCAGCGGAUAAUGCCGGGGACUCUGACGAGACUGCUGGUGAAUAGCCGGAGGAAGGAGGGGAUGACGUCAAGUCAUCAUGUCCCUUAUGCCCAGGGCGACACACAUGCUACAA